UCGGCCGUGGUGUAAUUGGCAGCACAGCGCCCUUUGGAGGCGUUUGUCAAGGUUCGAGUCCUUGCGGCCGAGC
Molecule: transfer RNA, 73 nt
Filed under: Virgisporangium aurantiacum
Lineage: Bacteria; Bacillati; Actinomycetota; Actinomycetes; Micromonosporales; Micromonosporaceae
Description: tRNA-Gln
Rfam family: tRNA
About the family: Transfer RNA (tRNA) molecules are approximately 80 nucleotides in length. Their secondary structure includes four short double-helical elements and three loops (D, anti-codon, and T loops).
Source: RNAcentral